RNAcentral lists this long non-coding RNA (1036 nucleotides) under Phoenix dactylifera (date palm). RNAcentral's name for it is "long non-coding RNA (PDAC_LNC016308)". The record is from RNAcentral. Lineage: Eukaryota; Viridiplantae; Streptophyta; Magnoliopsida; Arecales; Arecaceae.
AAAAAAAGUUACAAUGCCAAACGAGUGUAGAUCCACUCCACGCCACCUUGGGCUUGAGCUGGAGAGUUCCAGACUAUCAAUCACAGCCGCCCGUGUAUCGUGCAACGGCCAUGAUUGAGAAGGUGACGUGAGGGGGACGGUUCCCUAAUCAUAUUCCCGGGCCCUCCACGACAGCCGUGACCGAGAGUCGUGACAUCCCGGUCCCACUUCAUUCAAUGAGAAACAGCGAAUCUUUCGUUAAACCGCAUCCAAAGCGGCAUGGACCACGUAGUUUUCGUUUCCUUCAUAAUAGCACCCUCCCCACACGCACACGCAAAAAGAAAACUACAGGCCGAAAACGAACAUCAAAAGCUCCCUCUCCAUUUCUACCACGCGGCGUGGCAUGAGAGAAUUGGUGCUUCAUGCAACCGAGAUUAAUCGCACCAAACCUCUUUAUGGCACGAAGCAAGUCCAAGCAAUGGUGGGGCAUUGCUAGUAAAAUAAGGGCCCUGAUCAGCUACGACAGCUAGAUUUUGUAAUAUGAUACUGGACCAAUUGAGCUAAUUAAAAGUUGAAAUCAUGAUCCCUAAAGUCCAAUAUUUCAAGUUCGUUUAUGUAAUUAUCGGAAGGUUGAAUUUGGAUCGGGUGAUCCUCAUAUUAUUAUUCUAAUCCAAAUAUGCUUAACUAUAAAAUAAUUAAGUUUUGAAUACUAAAUUUAAAGUAAUUAACUCUUUAAAUCAUCAAAAUUAAAGAAUCUCUGUAAUGAAAAUGAUGUAGAACGGACCGGUAUGGCGGAUGAUCUUCUUGGGACAUUGAUGCCAGCUGGCCACGCGGUCGAAUUGAGAUCCAAUCGCGUCCUAAUCGGCUAACGCUGGCACAGUGAGCAGGGACGACCGGCUAUCACGUCUUAAGUCACUACAGCUGGCUUUCUUGUCGUGAUACCGAACUACCGAAAAAGCUCAGAUUCAUGUGAAGAAACGAGUCACGAAGCCCGCAUAUUUAUUUUUAAGCAUCCUCGACAAUCUUUUUGAUAAGAUUUAUUAAAACAUAGUAAGUU